GUCACUGCCCAUUUACCAUUACGCAGGGGCUUAUGAUAGUAAUUGAUAUUUCCAACAUAUAAGCUCCUAUUCUCGGGUAUCUUAUUUAUUUCCUUGAUAACCGCAUCCACUCUAACAAAUGUAUCAUCAUCACACUUCAUGAUAUUUUUUGCAAAUGCUACAUGGACCCCAUAUUCGCAGAUGGCAACUGUUUUCAAGACAACAAGAUCAUAAUUGUCCAUGAAAGGAACAAUGACAAUGUCACCAAAGAAUUGUGCUUCUUUCUUCAACUCCACGUUUAUAUCCUUCCUAGCGUGCAACGCGACAAAAAAUCGAGCCACAACAUUCGAAGAUUUGAUGAGCUGGUGCUGCAGCCAAGACCUCCUUAUAGCCAU
RNAcentral lists this unclassified non-coding RNA (374 nucleotides) under Hevea brasiliensis (rubber tree). Lineage: Eukaryota; Viridiplantae; Streptophyta; Magnoliopsida; Malpighiales; Euphorbiaceae. The record is from RNAcentral.